Mugil cephalus (flathead mullet) is the source of this 2178-nucleotide long non-coding RNA. RefSeq lists it as uncharacterized. The transcript has 2 exons. Lineage: Eukaryota; Metazoa; Chordata; Actinopteri; Mugiliformes; Mugilidae. The record is from RefSeq and is a predicted model, not a curated record.
AAGACCUGGACACAAAACGCAGAAAACAGACACUUGUAUAACCAGUUUCUUUAUUUGUCACAUGGUUUGAGUUUGUUGCGUCGCAGGAGGCGGAGCUCACCAGGAUGCGGUCGCUGUCUAUGAUGGUGUUGAGGCGAUGAGCGAUGUACCUGGGGUCCACGUUGGCUGUGGCCUCGUCGAUGAUGAGGAUGCGGUUCUUCCUGAGGAUGGCUCUGGCCAGACACACCAGCUGCCUCUGUCCCACGCUGAAGUUGGAGCCGGACUCUGCCAGGACCGUUUCUAACUUAGCAGGUAGCUCCUCCACCACAGACUUCAGCUGAACCUGCAGAGAACGAACAGAGUGAAGACUGGAUUCUACUGUAGUGAUGUGUUCAUGUGCUCUGAGUUUCAAAGUAAAAGCUUCAGUCAAGUCAACUUUUUUUCCCCCCUUAUUAAAACAAAGGUACUAAAGCUCUGCUAUGAUUCGGCCGUUCUUUCAUUAUCUGUAUCUGCUUUCUUCACAUGGUUUUAUUGUUCCUGGCACAAAGCUAAUCAGCCAGGAGAUCAUGAGGCCGUUUAAUUGUACAUAAUGGUGUCUGAUUAGGUUAGUCUGGCGCUGUAACACACCAGACUGAGCCAAAAAAAACCAUCUUGUAUAUAAACUGGCAAAAUGAGACUUUAAAGGAGUUGCUGCAGGAGACAAAGUCUGAAAUGAUUUUAAGAAAGCGAGACGACAUCACUCUCCAGUCAGUUUGAAACCCUGGUCAAUUGUUCAGACAGUUCCUGAAUUUUCCCAACAAAGUCCAACACCCUAAAUGAGUCAAAUGUGCAGGAAACUGUUGUACUAUUUUUGUCUGGCUGUUAGACGACUGCUUGGUAGUUUGAAGGUUGUACGUUUGAAUCUGCCGACAAGUCGUGAAUUUUGAAGUCUCACGCCCGAAGUAAAGACAGACGGAGAUAUUCUGAAUAACAUUUUUGGGCUGGGUUGAAACCUAUAAAGUAUUGCAUUUCUUGUUGAAGAGGAUGGACCCACAUGAAGACCAGAAAGUCGUCAGUGCAGAGGUGAAGGUGUCACAGUCCACUGUUAGAAGACUGAGAGCAGACAACAGAGGCCACAGCAAAAGAUGUCACCACUCAUCAGUAGUAAGAAUCAGAAGGUAAGAUUGAAGUUUGCAAAGUACAGAGAUGAACCACAGAAGGUCUGGAACAAACAAUCUAAUGAACUGAUGAGACCAAGAUGAAUCUCUACCAAAGUGAGGAUUCUGAAGACAUGAAAUUCUUAUGAUGGUCCACAAUAAAAACAUCCAUGCGGCCAAAUAGCUCAGACUGUUAGAGUGUUUAAAGGCUCCUGAUGAUCUGGGUUUGAUUCUUAUGACACUGGGUGACAGUGAAGUUCCACAACAGAAGAAAAGGCUGGAAAUGUGGUCAAAUAGUGCAGCCUGUUUGAGGAAUCUCUUUUCCUUCUUAAGAUCUGAGUUGAAGCCUGAUGACACUCAGGAGCUUUUAAAGUCCAACCCCCAAAGUGAAGAAUGAGAAGCUCUAAUAAAGACAGUGAGUGUGUGGUCUCAUAGCUCAGGCUGUUGGAGGACGGUGUUGUAAUUCUUAAGUCCUGAGUUCAAGUCUUAUGAUGUCCAGUGGUUUUUAAAGUCCACCACCAAAAGUGAAGAAUAAAAAGCUGUAAGAAAGGUGAGAACCAUGUGGUCACAUAGCUCAAGCUGAUAGACGACUGUCUGGAGACUCUGAGAACAUGGGUUCAAAUCUUAUCGGUGCUGGAGACUUUUAAAGUCCAACACUCAAAGCGAAGAGUCAAAUUGUGUCAACGCCAUUGAACCUCCUGUCGGAUCAAACAGCGCGGGCUGUUAGGAGGCUGCUUGGCAGUCUAGAAGUCAUGGGUUCGAAUCUUAUCUGGGUCGGUGUAUUUUGAAGUCCAGAUUCCAAAGUGAAGACUUAAAAGCGCCAAGAAAGAAGGUUCAAGUGUGAAGGGCCGUCGGUGGCGUGGUGGGUUUCAACCGCGACUGGAAGUCGCAAGAGAUUGGUUCGAUUCCCAUCCGUGGCUGGGGGCCUGGAUCCACCAAACAUCCCUGCAGUAGCAGGCCGGGGGGGGGCCGUGUCCUCCCCCGCGGUUUCCAAGCAACAGAAGGAGGGGGUUAUGGGACUCAGAACUACGAGAGGCUGGAGUUUUACAGUGAAGGGAGAGAA